This 253-nucleotide ribosomal RNA is filed under the name uncultured bacterium. RNAcentral describes it as "partial 16S ribosomal RNA". It matches the Rfam family "Bacterial small subunit ribosomal RNA", at positions 524 to 776 of the family's 1533-position model. The record is from RNAcentral.
UACGGAGGGGGCAAGCGUUGUUCGGAAUUACUGGGCGUAAAGGGCGCGUAGGCGGCUUGGCAAGUUGGGCGUGAAAGCCCUGGGCUUAACCCAGGAAUUGCGCUUGAGACUGCCGGGCUUGAGUGCGGGAGAGGUGAGUGGAAUUCCCAGUGUAGAGGUGAAAUUCGUAGAUAUUGGGAGGAACACCGGUGGCGAAGGCGGGUCUCUGGGCCGAUACUGACGCUGAGGAGCGAAAGCGUGGGGAGCGAACAGG